UACGUAGGGGGCAAGCGUUGUCCGGAUUUAUUGGGCGUAAAGAGCGUGUAGGCGGCCUGGAAGGUCAGCUGUGAAAACUCGAGGCUCAACCUCGAGACGUCGGUUGAAACCACCUGGCUAGAGUCCGGAAGAGGAGAGUGGAAUUCCCGGUGUAGCGGUGAAAUGCGCAGAUAUCGGGAAGAACACCGGUGGCGAAGGCGGCAUCCUGGACCAACACUGACGCUGAGGAGCGAAAGCCAGGGGAGCAAACGGG
This 253-nucleotide ribosomal RNA is filed under the name uncultured bacterium. Its description in RNAcentral is "partial 16S ribosomal RNA". It matches the Rfam family "Bacterial small subunit ribosomal RNA", at positions 524 to 776 of the family's 1533-position model. The record is from RNAcentral.